CUGGGAAUCUUGCAUUUUAUUUUCACUUUGGGUAGCUGAGGGUGAGGAAGAGGCUCAGGGGCUUUUGCGGAAGGAGAAGUCCCGGAGUGCGGAGGUGGAGCAUUGUGCUGGCGCCAUCUUCUCUUCCUUUCUGCAGCCUCUCACAGUAGGUACAGCAAUUCAGUGAGGAGGUGCAAUGCUUCCUGCACCGCUGGGUUCUAGCUUACAAAAGUCAGUGCCAGCAGAAGCCACCACCCCACCUGCCCUUCUGACCACCCUCAUGUCCUUCCACUUCCGGCUCUGCCUAGCCUCAGACCAAAGCCCGGCAGGGAUCGAAGAGGCACCUCUCUACACAAGUCCUUCUUCUGACCCCCAGGCCAGUGGCUCCAUUUUCUGUCUUCCCUGUGGGCUGUGAUUCAUGGUAGAUAUUAGAAAGGAAACAGCAUCCUUCAAUUCUUUCUACCAUUUCUCUUAUCUUUACAGGGUUCUUAUUAAGCAGUAUCUUCAAACUUAUUUAUGUGAUGUCACACUAGGAGGCAGUGUUGUCAAUGGGCCACUUCCCAUGAGCAUUGAACUCAGUAGAAAUAAGAGCCCAAUAAAUGCCACGUUGUCUCCACGAGGAAUCUGCUUCUCUGGUCCUGAAAGGGAGCGCUGGAAGAUAACCAGCUUCCAGGACACCAAACUGCUUUUCUCCAUGGCUGCCCAGCCUGUCCCUUCUGGCUGCCCACAGAGGGAAUAAGGCUGAGCGUCUCCAGAGACACAGCGCUCCGUGAAAUGCAAACGCAGAGCCCAGCAGAGACAAGCCGAGGAGGUCCCUUUUCUUCCAGGCCUGUUGCCACCUCCAUUCCGGCCUAGGCAUGUGGGUUCGUUUACAUGGCUGGUUUGGAGCCCUUGGCAGAUGAAAGCGCUCAGAUAGCUUUAUGUGUGUUGCUCAUCAUUAAACCACCCCUCCAGGGGUUCUUGCCGCCUUUGGUUUGUGUCUCAAUCUGGAGCAAAUUUAAGCAAAGGUUUAGGCCUCUGCAUUUCCUUGGUUUAAUUAAUAAUUCAUAAUAAAAAUUUAAUCAAGGCAUAAGCUUUUGUAGAUGGUUAUAAAACUCUUUUAUUUGCCCUGGAGAUCAGAAUGACCACUUUUUAAAUCCAUGAAAUGAUGUUGUGUUUUUGUUUUUUUUUUUC
Molecule: long non-coding RNA, 1152 nt
Filed under: Chinchilla lanigera (long-tailed chinchilla)
Lineage: Eukaryota; Metazoa; Chordata; Mammalia; Rodentia; Chinchillidae
Description: lncRNA (ENSCLAG00000022759.1)
Source: RNAcentral